RNAcentral lists this long non-coding RNA (1050 nucleotides) under Zostera marina. RNAcentral's name for it is "long non-coding RNA (ZMAR_LNC001941)". Lineage: Eukaryota; Viridiplantae; Streptophyta; Magnoliopsida; Alismatales; Zosteraceae. The record is from RNAcentral.
CAAGUAAAUGACCAGAUAACUGGAUAUAUAUAUGAUAAGUAAAUGCUUGAACAAAUAUAUGAAUAAAGAUUUAAAGCAAUGAAUAUAACCUCAGAUGGUUGACCAGAUAAAUGGAUGAGGGAUCUGCGUAAAGUAGUCAACCUCUGUAUUUGACCAGAUAACUAGAAGAGGGAUCCUUUUUAAUUAAGUGUUGUUUUUAGAUAUUUUAGAUAAAAGAUAAAACUAUAAUUAACAGAGAACAACACAAGAGAUUUAUACUGGUUCACCCAAACAAGGGCUAGUCCAGUCCCGACCAACUGCCGGAAUUCACUCGCCUAAAGGUUAUGGCAAAACCUUAGAGUAUCAAGGAAACUCUUAAAAACCUCUCUAAGCUUUAAGGCUACUUCGCUUAGGAACCAGUCUUUUACGGGUAGACUCACACCUUAGAGUAUCAAGGGCACUCUUAAGAACCUCUAACUUUUGCGGGUAAGUUAGUACCUUAGAGUAUCAAGGAACUCUUAGAGUAUCAAGGAACUCUUAAAAACCUCUCUAAGCUUUAAGGCUACUUCGCUUAGGAACCAGUCUUUUACGGGUAGACUCACACCUUAGAGUAUCAAGGGCACUCUUAAGAACCUCUAACUUUUACGGCUAAGUUAGUACCUUAGAGUAUCAAGGAACUCUUAAAAACCUCUGAAAUCUUUAAAGGUAGACUCGACCUAAGAGUUUUUCCGGAAACUCUAUAAAACCAAACUAGAGCUUUAUGGUUGAGCUCAAAAACCUUCUCUCACACUUUGGUACUAUUGAGACAACCCUCUCAACCAAAGUGGACACACACGAGAGGUGAUUAGAGGAGUGGAAUAUUAAAGCAAACAACACUUCUUACUUGUAAAGAUGAACAAGAAGAUUAGAAAAAGAAGUUGGAGAGCUUUUGAAGUUUUGGAAAGCUAGGACACUUGAGCACUUGAAAGCUUGAAAGCUUGGAGGCAAAAACGUGUGGACAAGUGUGGAGUGAAAGCUCUUGAGUUUGCUUGUAGUGUGGUGAGUGAAAAUGAGGGGAUUACCCUUCUAUUU